Small nucleolar RNA from Pristis pectinata (smalltooth sawfish), 64 nucleotides. RefSeq annotates it as small nucleolar RNA U54. Lineage: Eukaryota; Metazoa; Chordata; Chondrichthyes; Rhinopristiformes; Pristidae. The transcript has a single exon. The record is from RefSeq and is a predicted model, not a curated record.
UGGCAAGGAGGAUAUUCUGUAAAUGAAACAACGUGAUUGAUUUAUACGCUAUUCUGAGCCAGUU